UAAUCCAUCAUUUGUUUGUUGUUUGUUGUAAUAAUCCAUAUUUGUUUCCUUCCCUCUUUCUGGGAUCAGAUAGAAAUGCUCAGAAGACAAAUGACUCUCCCGCUAUUAAUCUCUAAGGUUUAAUGUCCUCCUUGCAGAAGUAGAUAAGACGACUGCGUUUGGGGGAGUAAUUAAUGGAACAACAGUAACGAUAAGCUCAUCCUCUUCGGGCUCAAUUGGAAACCUCUCCAAGACCGCUCCAGCAGCCGACCGAAUGACAGAGAUAACGGAGAGCUUGACCUGGUCCACGUGGCUUUCAUUUCUCCUCCCGACCUCCAGAUUUUGAAAGCGUUUCCUUCCAAGUGACUUGAAGGGUUGAGUCGGACAUGAAUGUAAAAUAUUGUUCUUCAGGGCGGUGUGUGGAUUAUUGUCAUCAUUCUGCAAAGCCCCAAGUUGUUGGGGAAUGUAAUCAGGAUCAGCUGGGAGUGGGGAAGAGACCCUCCAGUUCGGUGGAAUUGGUUUGUUUGAACUUUAAGUAAAAAAAGCUCCCAAAGCACUUAGAAGUCAGCAUCACGAUGCACAAGAAAGUGUUCCUGCCCUCGGCAUCGGUAUCAGCCCUGCCUCUGCCUCUCACUCCUUGUAUGACCUUUGGCCAGUCCCUCUUCUGUGCCCUAAACUGUACAAUGAAAAGCCUGGACAAGAUGAUCGCUGCCAUUGUUCCAGCUCUCAGAUCUACCUAAGCUCUAACCCUAUCCCCUUCCCAUGAUGACUCCAGCUCCCAUGGGAGCUUAUCAAUAUCUUUUUUUUUUCUUUUAGAGAAUUUUUAAAUUUUUUAUUUAUUUAUUUGUUACAUUGAAAUAUUCCGUUAACUCCCCCCCUCCCUUCCUUCCCUCCUCCAUUAGAGAAGAUAUUUGUAGAUAUAAAAUCAUGCCUUCCUUAUUGCUAUUUAUCAGCUCUCUCUCUGGAGGUGGAUGUAUGCAAGUCAUUCUUCAAACAGCAUUUCUGUUGCUGUAUGGAAUGUUCUCUUGGUUCUGCUCAUUCAGAUAUCACAUAUAUGUGGUUAACUGUCGGGCUUUUGGUUGUAAAAUGCCUGCAGAAUCCUCUAUUUUCCUGAGAUUCAGGGUGUGCACCAGCUGGUGGGAAUGGCCUCCAUCUUGGACAGUCCAGGAAUGUCAUUGUUUCAAACCCAAGAGGAUGGUUCUUUGGCUUCCCUCUGAUCCUUAGUGGUUGCCUCAGUGAAAUGGGAUGACAACACCCUCCUGCCCUACCUCUCGGGCUCUCGUGAGUGAUGGAGGCUACGGAAUCUGUAUCACGGUAUCUAACAUGAGCUGUAGAGAAGAAUAGAACUUUUCCC
RNAcentral lists this long non-coding RNA (1333 nucleotides) under Monodelphis domestica (gray short-tailed opossum). RNAcentral describes it as "lncRNA (ENSMODG00000046043.1)". The record is from RNAcentral. Lineage: Eukaryota; Metazoa; Chordata; Mammalia; Didelphimorphia; Didelphidae.